GGACUGCUUGCUCACCAGGACUUGCAUAAUUCUGAUGAACUGGUCAGCAGCUCAAGAAUGAAACUCUCCCCACAGAGAACCGUGACACCCCAACUCCAGGCAACACCCCAUCCCUCUAGAAUCUGGAGAGGUUUAGCGUCUCCUCCAGAUUUCCUAGCGACACCCCGCGGACGUGAUCCCGCUGUCAAACAAUAGCUCUUCUUACUCUGGACGCCGGGGAGCGACCGGGCUGCCCUGUCAAGCUGCUCGUGUAACAAAACCCAGCUUCCUUCUUAUCUUGUCUGCCCCGGCAAACAGCAGACCCCAAAGGAGGUGAACCGAGGACCCCAAUUAGCGACACCCGAAAAUCGCUUUGGUGUAAACGGAAAGCAACUGGUUUUCUUUUACAAGGGGAAGGCCACCGAGUGUCACUUCUGUUCUUUCCUGUGUUUUACCACCAAAUGCCAGCACUUCUGAAAGAGACUGUCUUGAUAUUUCAUAUGACGUGUCGAGGCUGCACGCUGAGGCCGCAGGAAGACAAAUGAGCCGGCUCUGCACGAGGCGACGGGGACCCCACGACCGGCAGCGCCUGCCCACGAGGAAACCGGGCUGCAGGGUUUGGGGGCCUGCACGCCGCCAUUCCUGCCCCUACGAGCUGCGUCUGCCCUCUCUGGACCCAGGUUCCCUGUCCAUCAGACGGCGCCAGUGAUAAGCUGCCCUCCUAGGGGCGGUCAGUGAGACGUCAACUCACAAACGUGUUCAGACAGCUGCUUCUCACUUCUCCAUGAGGGUCGAUGGUGGUGUUGCUGUUUUAUUUGGCCAAAAAAAAAAAAGGGAAAAAAGGAGUGGGACA
Long non-coding RNA from Choloepus didactylus (southern two-toed sloth), 832 nucleotides. RefSeq lists it as uncharacterized. Lineage: Eukaryota; Metazoa; Chordata; Mammalia; Pilosa; Megalonychidae. The record is from RefSeq and is a predicted model, not a curated record. The transcript is spliced from 3 exons.